RNAcentral lists this ribosomal RNA (261 nucleotides) under uncultured bacterium. RNAcentral's name for it is "partial 16S ribosomal RNA". It matches the Rfam family "Bacterial small subunit ribosomal RNA", at positions 524 to 786 of the family's 1533-position model. The record is from RNAcentral.
UACGGAGGGGGCUAGCGUUGUUCGGAAUUACUGGGCGUAAAGCGCUCGUAGGCGGAUUGGUCAGUCAGAGGUGAAAGCCCAGGGCUCAACCCUGGAACUGCCUUUGAUACUGCCAGUCUAGAGUUGGGAGAGGUGAGCGGAAUUCCGAGUGUAGAGGUGAAAUCGUAGAUAUUCGGAGGAACACCAGAGGCGAAGGCGGCUCACUGGACCGAUACUGACGCUGAGGAGCGAAAAGCGUGGGGAGCAACAGGAUUAGAUACC